Molecule: non-coding RNA, 107 nt
Filed under: Pontibacillus litoralis
Lineage: Bacteria; Bacillati; Bacillota; Bacilli; Caryophanales; Bacillaceae
Also listed under: 1 other name
Description: SAM-I sequence
Rfam family: SAM riboswitch aptamer (S box leader)
About the family: The SAM riboswitch is found upstream of a number of genes which code for proteins involved in methionine or cysteine biosynthesis in Gram-positive bacteria. The SAM riboswitch acts at the level of transcription termination control.
Source: RNAcentral
UUCUUAUCAAGAGAGGCGGAGGGACUGGCCCUUUGAAGCCCGGCAACCAUUCGAAUAGUCGAAACGGUGCCAAAUCCUGCAAGGUAUCAUUCCUUGGGAGAUGAGAG